This 253-nucleotide ribosomal RNA is filed under the name uncultured bacterium. RNAcentral's name for it is "partial 16S ribosomal RNA". It matches the Rfam family "Bacterial small subunit ribosomal RNA", at positions 524 to 776 of the family's 1533-position model. The record is from RNAcentral.
UACGGAAGGGGCAAGCGUUGUUCGGAAUCAUUGGGCGUAAAGGGCGCGUAGGUGGUUCUGUAUGUCUACCGUGAAAGCGUACGGCUCAACCGUAUUUUGUCGGUCGAAACUGCAGGACUUGAGGCUGGGAGGGGCUGGUGGAAUUCCCUGUGUAGCGGUGAAAUGCGUAGAGAUGGGGGAGAACACUCGUGGCGAAGGCGGCCAGCUAGACCAGUUCUGACACUGAGGCGCGACAGCGUGGGGAGCAAACAGG